GGCCACAUUAAUUUGAAACACCAGUUCACAUAUGAUCACUGAAGUUAAGCAACAUUGAGCCUGUUUAGUAUCUAGAUGGGUAACUGCUUGGGAAUACCAGGAGCU
This is a non-coding RNA of Acanthosepion pharaonis, 105 nucleotides long. Lineage: Eukaryota; Metazoa; Mollusca; Cephalopoda; Sepiida; Sepiidae. The record is from the annotation of a GenBank genome assembly.